Molecule: transfer RNA, 58 nt
Filed under: Pthirus pubis (crab louse)
Lineage: Eukaryota; Metazoa; Arthropoda; Insecta; Psocodea; Pthiridae
Description: tRNA-Gln
Source: RNAcentral
UUGUAGGAAUAGCUUGAAUUUUGAGUUUAAGAAAGGUAAUUUAAUUUACCCUUACAUU